CAGCGAAAGGACUCAAACCAAAAGACAACACGGAGGUGUUAAAAUUUUCUGGAGCAGGACAAUGACUUGAAGAACAUACUAUGCGGUAAAAAUGCACCAGGUCAUUGUGUAAGAGUUAGAUGGGAAUGCGGCAAAACCAGUUAGGAAGCCACUGCGGUGACCCUGCGCUGAGAUGUCAAGUCCAAGUCCAAGAUGGUUGCAGGGGCAUGGAGAGGAAGAACUACAUCUAAAAGGUAUUUCAAAAGAAAUAAACACAGAUUUAACGAGUUCCUACUAUCUGCUAGGCUGUGCUAACACCACCGAGGCGGGCGUGGAAUCACCCCCAUUUCGCCCACUUGCAGAGUGAGAUUUGGCCAGAUUGACUCUCUGGGGGUCACACGCGGCGAGCGGCAGCGUUGAGCUUCCAACGUGGGGCGUCGGGCUCUCCAGACCCGGGGCUGCCCCAGGCCUCCACUGUCGCCUCUGAGACCAGCCCCCGCUGUGCCCUGCGGGGUGAGGAAGAGCUUCCAGUGCCAAGACCUCAACUCCUCAAUUUGCAGAGAAGGGCCUUGCAGGGCCUAAGCGCGGAGAUCAGGGACCCUUAUCAAGCCGUCAGUCCCUUUCAGGAUCUUGGAGACCCGCACGUCGGGCGGAAGCAGGCGCGUCGCGGCGGCUGCAGCUCCCGGCCCCGGGCGCGAGCGGCUGAGUCACGGCGGGGCCGGGCCGCGGGCGGCUCCAGCGUGGUGAGCCCGGAGGCUGCGCCGGGCCCUGCAGCGCAGCCGGGAGCCGCGCCGACCGAGACCGGAUGAGCCGAGUCAGCGCGGCCCCGCCGCCCCGCGGAGACGAGAUCGGCCGCGGGUUCUCGCUGAUCCCGCCGGGGAGCUGGAAUCGGAGACUGAAAUUUGAAAGCUUGAGUGGCCCCAAGCAACAGAUGCUAUAUGCAGGUUUCAGUGGAGGCUGCUCACCUUGUGCGGAGACACGUCCUUCUAGCUGUGGCGUGUGGGAUGCCAGCCCAGCAUGGCCCAACGAUGGUGCCAUGUCCACGCCCAGGACCCGAACCUGCGAAACCCUGGGCCACCACAGCGGAGUGCAGGAACCCAACCACAAGGCCACAGGGCUGGCCAGGACCUGUUUCUGAUUGUCAGUGUUUUUGUCCUCCAUCAGGAAGCAUUGACACUGGGCAAAAUGGUGGAACCUUAUGAGGAAAAGUGGCUGCCAAUCAUUGCAUUACAGGAAAGUUUAUUUUCUUUUUAAGAGCUGACAUCAUUUUCCCAAGUAUUCUUUUGAUAUUUUAUCCCACUUGCAUAAUCAUCGCCUUUCUUUAAUUCUAUAAGGUAUACAUUUAAAAAGACCAGACCUUUCCAGGAGUCUGACAGAAAUGGGAUUCAGAAUUGUGUCUGAGACAUUUUCAGAUUUUCAUCAAGAGUUUGUGUUCAAGUGCCACUGUUUACUGUCUUCUGUGUGACUUGGAACAAGUUAUUUAACCUAUCUUGGUCUCAGUUUUCUCAUCUGAAAAAUGAGGAUAAGAAUAGCACAUGCUUAUAAAUUGUUGUGAGAAUUGAAUGAGAUUGUAGGGGAGGAAGACAAUUCCUCUACCCAUUCUAGGUCCUCCUGGCUGGUCUAUGAAUUAAAUUGACACGAGACAGAAUAACAGGAGAAAAUCAAACAAAGCUUUAUAACAUGUAUACAUGGGAGAAACGCCAGAAUGACUGAGUUUCCAUCUUAAAUACAAUCUUCAGCUAAAGACAAAGGACGGUGUUGGGGGUAGUGGUUUGGGGCUUCAAAGGGGAGGAAGGCAAUUCACAUGGAGAUGGAAAAGCAAAUGUUUGGUAGAUGAGAAUGGGCUUAAUAAAGACCCUCACAGUCUACCAAUAUCCAGAGUUACCUAUGGUGAUAACCUGUCCUGGGGACAGGCCUUUUGUCUUAAAUUCUUUAGGCAGUUAGGGGGAAGAUCAAAGUUUCUUUUGUUCUUAGAAAAUAAUCAAGGCAAAGACACAUUUUGGGGUGGCCAAUUCUGAUGUCCUACAAGAGCAUAUUUGUAAAAUGAGUGCUUAGAAUGAUGCCUAUGGAUAAUUCUCUAUAAAUAUUUACCUAUAAAUAAAUAUUAUUGUCUUUUUGUUAUUAAAGAGAACAGUGGCUCUGUACUGAAUAAUGAUAGGCACACCUGCCAUUGUCACCAAGGCUGAAGUGGUAGAUGUGUUUCCUUGCAAACUCUCCCCAUCAUUUGAAAAUCAACUCAAUGUGACCCUGAUUAAGCAGACAAAACAUUCACCACGAUGAGUCCACGUUAUCCAUAUCUCAGGCCACUUAUCUCUCCACAUGGAGUGAAGGAACAAAUGUACUGUUCUCAGCUCUACCUACUGGGAGAAUUUCCCUUCACCGUGGUGCAGCAUAGUUCAUUUGUUAUUAGUACCAACAUAUUAGCUGAUCCUUCUGUGAACCAGGCCGAAGUUUCCUGCCC
This 2440-nucleotide long non-coding RNA is filed under the name Equus caballus (horse). Its description in RNAcentral is "lncRNA (ENSECAG00000044330.1)". Lineage: Eukaryota; Metazoa; Chordata; Mammalia; Perissodactyla; Equidae. The record is from RNAcentral.